Molecule: ribosomal RNA, 253 nt
Filed under: uncultured bacterium
Lineage: Bacteria
Description: partial 16S ribosomal RNA
Rfam family: Bacterial small subunit ribosomal RNA
Source: RNAcentral
CACGUAGGACGCAAGCGUUAUCCGGAAUUACUGGGCGUAAAGAGCGUGUAGGCGGUUCUGUAAGUCAACCGUGAAAGCUCCCGGCUAAACUGGGAGAGGUCGGAUGAGACUGCAGGGCUAGAGGGUCGUAGAGGGGUGUGGAAUUCCGGGUGUAGUGGUGAAAUGCGUAGAGAUCCGGAGGAACACCAGAGGCGAAGGCGGCACCCUGGACGACACCAGACGCUGAGACGCGACAGCACGGGGAGCGAACGGG